GCAGCGGUAGUCCAGCUGGUUAGAAUGCCGCCCUGUCACGGCGGAGGUCGCGGGUUCGAGCCCCGUCCGCUGCGCCA
Molecule: transfer RNA, 77 nt
Filed under: Campylobacter jejuni
Lineage: Bacteria; Pseudomonadati; Campylobacterota; Epsilonproteobacteria; Campylobacterales; Campylobacteraceae
Description: tRNA-Asp
Rfam family: tRNA
About the family: Transfer RNA (tRNA) molecules are approximately 80 nucleotides in length. Their secondary structure includes four short double-helical elements and three loops (D, anti-codon, and T loops).
Source: RNAcentral